CUUCCACAGACUCAAUCAAAUGCCUUUAUUUUCAUUAUGGAUCAAAGCCAUUUUUGUCAUCUCGGCCUUGGCUCCUUAUUCAGAAGCUUCCAUAAAACCAGAUCGUAUACAGAAUUGGAUAGACUGCAAUACAUUUUCCACGAG
Long non-coding RNA from Lepus europaeus (European hare), 144 nucleotides. RefSeq lists it as uncharacterized. The transcript is spliced from 3 exons. NCBI's taxonomy places the organism in Eukaryota, Metazoa, Chordata, Mammalia, Lagomorpha, Leporidae. The record is from RefSeq and is a predicted model, not a curated record.